RNAcentral lists this long non-coding RNA (274 nucleotides) under Elaeis guineensis (African oil palm). RNAcentral describes it as "long non-coding RNA (EGUI_LNC022799)". Lineage: Eukaryota; Viridiplantae; Streptophyta; Magnoliopsida; Arecales; Arecaceae. The record is from RNAcentral.
CUCAAUGAGAUCUUAUAGUGGAUGUUGGUGACAGUUAAUCCACUGUAAAAGUAGUGUGCACAUCAAGAUAGUAUAUAUCGAUCUUGAUAGAGAGGAGUAAUCUUAUGAGAUUUGAGAGGCUAAGUUCAAGAGUCUGUAGCUACAAUAGUGCGAUUGAUGAAAAAGAGUUUCUAUAAGGAUCACAAUUAGACAUGAGCUAAUCAAAUCUAUCAUAUAACUGAUGAUGAGGUUUGACGAUUUAUCUAUGACCUGCCAUCUAGUCAGGACUCACGAU